GUUCCCAACCUCUCCCGGAUUCGAUUCGAUUGACCCGUCCGCUCCAAAUCGAAUCUAAUCAGCAGUUUUGGAGUUGCGGAAGGGAGAAAGAGAGAGGAGAGGGGCAUGGAUCAGGUGCUCAACAAGGUGGGGAGCUACUGGUUCAGCAAAAGGGCCAGCAAGGAAAUCGACUCCAUCGGCGACGACAUCAGCCAUACUACCCUCCCAAGAUAACUACUAUAGGAAUCUGAUGAACCAAGAUGAUACAGAUAAUUUAGGCUCGGAGGAUUACGUGCAAGUUGAUCCUCUUGUAGCUAAUAUGAAUUCCCAGACAAAACCAAAGGGCCUCUCAAAAAAUUUCACUGAUGAUGAGGACAUUCUACUGUUGUCAGCGUAUCUCAAUGUUAGCAAAGAUCCUAUUGCUGGAAGGGACCAAAAAGAUGGCAGAUUUUGGGAAAGAAUUGAAAAGUAUUAUCAUGUCAAUUUAACAUUUGAAUCGCUCUUCAUUGCAUCAUCGAUGGGGUAUAAUCCAAAAGAAAGUAAGUCUUUCCAAAGUUACUAUGAAGCCAUACAAAGGAAGAAUGAAAGUGGAAAGACAAUGAAUGACAAGAUUGCUGAUGCUAAAGCUAUGUUCCAAACCUUAAGAAAAAAGGCUUUUACUUUGUUUCAUGCUUGGAAUAUUCUUAGACACGAGCCAAAGUGGUCAUCAAUAAAGGACUCCACAAUGGCUACCAAGAAGCUAGAUCCUCACAACGGUAAUGAAGAUGAUGGACAUGACACCCCUAGACCACCAGGAAGGAAAGCCGAGAAAGAUAAAUUGCGAGCACGAAAGCGAGAGGACAAUGACAAUGAUGCAUUGAUGGAAGAACUAAAAAAAUUAGAGAGUCAAGAUUGGAGAUAGAAAAUGAUCGUAAUGCACGAGAAGACAAGUUAUUAGAGCCGGAGAGUAGUAAACUUGAUCUUGAGCGUGAACAACGUGACGACAAGGUGAUGAGAACCGACACAAGUACAAUGGAUGAUGAGUCGAAACAAUAUUUUAAGUUAGUGAAAGAGGAAAUUUUGGCGCG
RNAcentral lists this unclassified non-coding RNA (1046 nucleotides) under Zea mays. RNAcentral describes it as "misc RNA Zm00001eb127330". The record is from RNAcentral. Lineage: Eukaryota; Viridiplantae; Streptophyta; Magnoliopsida; Poales; Poaceae.